AUACGUAGGGUGCGAGCGUUAAUCGGAAUUACUGGGCGUAAAGCGUGCGCAGGCGGUUUUGUAAGUCAGAUGUGAAAUCCCCGGGCUUAACCUGGGAACUGCGUUUGAAACUGCAAGGCUAGAGUGUGGCAGAGGGGGGUGGAAUUCCGCGUGUAGCAGUGAAAUGCGUAGAGAUGUGGAGGAACACCGAUGGCGAAGGCAGCCCCCUGGGUCAACACUGACGCUCAGGCACGAAAGCAUGGGGAGCAAACAGGAUUAGAUACCCCAGUAGUAC
Molecule: ribosomal RNA, 274 nt
Filed under: uncultured bacterium
Lineage: Bacteria
Description: partial 16S ribosomal RNA
Rfam family: Bacterial small subunit ribosomal RNA
Source: RNAcentral